GGGAGUGAAUUUUCUUGAGCUUUAUUUGUGGUUUGCAAUUUUAUUAAGUAACUUUUUCGUAACACACACACUCAUACACACACUCACACUCACUCACACUCACAUUCACACACACUCACAUAGACACACACACACACACAUACACAUUCACACCCACACACACUCUCAAACUAACAUUCACAUUGAUAUGUAUAUGAAUGCAUAGGUGGCUGUUGCAGCCAAGAAGGUAAAUGUACAGAUCCCCCCCUCCCCUCCCCUCCUUUUUUAUUAUUUUAGAGAUUAUUUGUUUAGAUAUCACCUCUAAUCUGACAAGCCUACGCGAAUUUCCAUAUUACUUUGUAUGAAUUAGGCAUAAAAAUGGGUUUUUUCCCUUGAUGAAUCGAGUAUGCUAAAUACCCAAUUGUGAUAGUCCAUCUAAAUUUUUUAUCUUAUUUGUACUUGUUUUUAUUAUUAUUGAUGAGCUUCAUCUUUAUCGAGUUUGCUUGUAAAUCAACAAGCAUGGAAGCAACUUAUCAUCGAGGCAGAGCUCUUUACGUUCUUCGAUAUUUGCGAUCUUUGUCUUGCAAGCUUGAUUUGCUUAAUGGUUCUUUCUUCUUUAAUAUUGUACUGCUCUUCCUUCUUUUAUGCAAAUAUGGAGUGAAUAAAAUUACAAACCACAAGUAAAGCUUCAAAAACUGAACUUUUUCUUGACACACACACACUCUUGCGUCUUUCUUGCAAAUAUGGAGUGAAUUUUUAAGAGCUUUACUUGUGGUUUGCAAUUUUAUUAACUUUUUCUUAACUGUACAAUACAUUAGUUAUCAACUAAAUAUACAAUUAUUAGUGUGUAAAAAAUACAUUUUUAUGUGUGUAUGUAUCUGUGUGAUGUCAGUAUAUAUACGAUGUGUAUAUACAGAUAUAUGUGUAUGUGUAAAGUACAUAACUGUAUAUAUACAGUGGCACUACAAUAUAUAUUUCUAUAUACCUUGAUGUAUAUUAUCAUUUUUACAUUUAUUAUCAGUUUAUAUAGUUAUUGACGUAUAUGUAUACUGAUUUAUAUAUUACAUACACAUACACUCACACUCACAUUCGUACACACACUCACACUCACACUCACACUCACACUCACACACUCACACUCACACACACACUCACACUCACACUCACACACUUACACUCACCCUCACACACACACACUCACACACACACACACUGACAUACAUUGACCCUGAAACUGACACUGACACUGACACUGACACUCGCACAAACACACACUCGCACUCACUCUCACUCCUACCCAAAGUCACACUCACACUCACUCACCGAUAUAUAUACUACACAUAUGUGUUGUGUUUGGUAUGAUGUUUGUAUAUAUACGAUAUGUAUAUACUGAUAUAUUUAUACGUGUAUGUAUAUAGUUGCUUGCUAUUAGUUUCUUACAUUGAUAAGUGCCU
This 1433-nucleotide long non-coding RNA is filed under the name Amborella trichopoda. RNAcentral describes it as "long non-coding RNA (ATRI_LNC001159)". Lineage: Eukaryota; Viridiplantae; Streptophyta; Magnoliopsida; Amborellales; Amborellaceae. The record is from RNAcentral.